AGAGUUUGAUCCUGGCUCAGAACGAACGCUGGCGGCAUGCAUCAUACAUGCAAGUCGAACGGGGAGAGUUGUAGCAAUACAGCGCUCCUAGUGGCGAACGGGUGAGUAACACGUAGGUAACCUGCCCUCGUGACCGGGAUAACGUGCCGAAAGGCGCGCUAAUACCGGAUGUGACCCCGAUCUGGCAUCAGAUAGAGGUA
This 200-nucleotide ribosomal RNA is filed under the name uncultured bacterium. RNAcentral describes it as "partial 16S ribosomal RNA". It matches the Rfam family "Bacterial small subunit ribosomal RNA", at positions 8 to 202 of the family's 1533-position model. The record is from RNAcentral.